CCUACGGAGGCAGCAGUGGGGAAUAUUGGACAAUGGGCGCAAGCCUGAUCCAGCCAUGCCGCGUGAGUGAUGAAGGCCUUAGGGUUGUAAAGCUCUUUUAUCCGGGACGAUAAUGACGGUACCGGAGGAAUAAGCCCCGGCUAACUUCGUGCCAGCAGCCGCGGUAAUACGAAGGGGGCUAGCGUUGCUCGGAAUCACUGGGCGUAAAGGGCGCGUAGGCGGCGUUUUAAGUCGGGGGUGAAAGCCUGUGGCUCAACCACAGAAUGGCCUUCGAUACUGGGACGCUUGAGUAUGGUAGAGGUUGGUGGGAACUGCGAGUGUAGAGGUGAAAUUCGUAGAUAUUCGCAAGAACACCGGUGGCGAAGGCGGCCAACUGGACCAUUACUGACGCUGAGGCGCGAAAGCGUGGGGAGGCAAACAGGAUUAGAUACCCUGGUAGUCCACGCCGUAAACCGAUGAAUGCCAGCUGUUGGGGUGGCUUGCNCNCAUAGCGCANCUACGACUUGUAGNAUCCGUCCGUCGGGGUACGGGGUCGGCGAGAAUAAACUAACAAAGAAGUAGAGGCGNGAGAGAGCGACGGACGACGACGAGGGAGGAGG
This 599-nucleotide ribosomal RNA is filed under the name uncultured bacterium. RNAcentral describes it as "partial 16S ribosomal RNA". The stretch from base 1 to 517 matches the Rfam family "Bacterial small subunit ribosomal RNA", at positions 338 to 873 of the family's 1533-position model. The record is from RNAcentral.